AUCCAUCUUAUUCCUCAGGCUCUAAGACGGGACAUUACUGAGGGGAAAGACAUAAAUUUAGCAUCACUACUGAUUGCUUCUCAAGACGUGGUAGAAAACAGAGCCUAUACCUUCGAGGAUCUGUCGGUAGUGAUGAAGUCUAGAGACCCUAGACUAAAUAGAAAGCUCAAUAUUCCCGAAUUUGUCAUCGCAUUCGGACUGUACAGAGAUGUGAUUUGUACAACCUUCCCUCUCCGUAGAGAGGAACUUGACUUAUAUCUGCAUAAGGUGGUUGAGUUAGCAUACAAGUACGGCGGCUAUGCAUUUUACGACUAUCAUAAG
Molecule: non-coding RNA, 321 nt
Organism: Pelobates cultripes (western spadefoot toad)
Lineage: Eukaryota; Metazoa; Chordata; Amphibia; Anura; Pelobatidae
Source: the annotation of a GenBank genome assembly